GGCGGCGGGGCGGCCAUGUCGGUGCAGGAGGACCCGGUGCAGCGGGAGAUCCACCAGGACUGGGCCAACCGCGAGUACAUCGAGGUGAUCACCAGCUCCAUCAAGAAGAUCGCGGACUUCCUCAACUCCUUCGACAUGUCGUGCCGGUCCCGGCUGGCCACGCUGAACGAGAAGCUGACGGCGCUGGAGCGCAGGAUCGAGUACAUCGAGGCCCGGGUCACCAAGGGUGAGACGCUGACAUAGGCCGGGGCGGCCCCGGUUCCUGCCCCACCGGAGCACCACCGCCCUGCUCGGGGCCUGCCUCCGCCGCCACCGCCGCCUCUGCUUGUGUUGCCAAUAAACCGCUGUGCUCCCGCCCUGCCUGCUCUCUGCCUGCCUGCCUGGGGCUGGGCCAUGGCAUGCCCGGCUCCCUGCCACCAUCCUGGAUGUCCAGAGUCAGCCCUUCCAUCUGCCUGGCCGGUGGGGUUUGGGCCUGAAUUCCUCCCCACAGUGGGGCCUGUGAUGGGAGGGGAUGCGCUGCAGGCCUGGCUGCUGUCAGCUCCAUGAGGCACCUCACCAGCCUUUGACGUGCUCUGUGCUCCUGCUGGGGUCACAGCAGAAAACCUGGUGAUCUUGAUGGUUUGGAGGGUGUCUCAGCCUUCCUGUGUGUGUGCUGUCAGGGCUGUGUGGGGCCAGCCUUGCCUGGCCUGGUGCACAUCACAUGCCAUAGGGGAGUGCCUUCUCUCUUGGGAGGCAAGUGGCAAGUAGAAGGAAAUCUCUUUUCCCUUCCCACCACUCCUCUGUGUGUCUCAGUUUUUCACUGGGCAUCUAGAGCUGCAGACUCGCAGCUCAUAUUCAGGUUGUUGGGGAGUCCAUGGAGUUGGUGCCAGUAAAGGUCUUGUUUCCCAGCAGGCUGUAAAUGUUUUGGUAUAUUGUCCAGCUGACAUCAGGUGGUUGCCCCUCAGCAUAGGUCUUCCUCCAAGGUCACAGUUUGUUCUCUGUAGGAAGCUCUGUGUUUUCCAUUGAGUAAGUGUGCCUCCAGCCUUUUCCCUCAGCUCACGUAGCCAGUUACACUUUACUGUCAGGUUGGGCUGCACAUCCAGGAGGCUUGGCUGCUUAUGGUGUGUAGUCCCAUUGGAAAUAAGUGCUUUGUAGCAACCCUGCAGAACUUAUAGUGGAGUGGAGCAGCCAUGGGUUAUUGCCCUUUUGCUCUGGGGUGAUACCAAAUGAUGAGUCUGAGUGCUGUCAUACAGGAUUGGCAGGUAGAGGGAAAGCACCUAUCUCUUUCCUCAGAGGCAGUUGCUCUGUGGCCCAGGUGCAUCAAAAGUAUGCCUGUGGCCUGUGCACUGCUCAUUCUGAAUGUGCUGGAGUGGAGCCGUGAGAUCUCUGUCCUCUUGGAGAACUUGCCUGGACAAGGCCCUGAGCAGCUUGAUCUGACUGAAGUUAGCUCCACUUUGAAGGAGGGUGUGUGUGUUGCGGGGAGGCGUGUGGGUAGAGGAUACCAGAGGUCCCAGUCUAGAUUAUCCUAAGAUUCUUCACCCAAAGACUGAAUGGGAGACAGAGGGUACCACGGACAUCCCUGGGAUAGGGUCUGUACCAGGCUGACCUCUUCACCCGAGAUCUGUUUCCUGUUCCUGAUCCCAGCUAGUAGUAUGGUGCGUGUCUCUGAUCACUUGCUGGUCCCCUGACAGGCUGUUGUAACGGUUCUCCUUCUUUCCUCUGACCCCAGUGUUUCUUGCAGGAAUGGGUGUUGCCAUGCAGUUGGUGUGGUCAAAGCAGUUUUGGUGUAGGGCUCUGUCUUCCACAGGGUACUGCUCCUCCCCGGACAUACACUGUCACAGAGCUGGAGCGCUGGGAUCAGCCUCUCCGGUUCAUCUCCCAGCAGGGAUGCUGGGCAGCUCCCUGCAGUUUAGAGUCCUGCCCUUUCCCUUUCAGGGAGUCUCAGUAGUUCCCUACGGCUUUGCAAGACCAGGCUUCUGCUCUGGGUGCUGCUCAGUGCAGCCCAUCUCUGGGAGGUGGGGAAGUCUCCUGGUGCUUAGGCUGAUACUGCUGCUUCCAGUAGCUGCUCUGGUGUGCAGCCUUGUUAGUAGGUGGAGCUUUGAUGUCUUUGAUUGUUUUAAAGACUGGGGAAUUCUGCUUGUCCUUUUUUUUUUUUUCCUUGUACUGUGUUUUUUUCAGAAUAUGAUGUCCCAGGAACUCACAUUAAACUUUUCUGGAGUAGAUUUGUGUAUUCCAUAUCAGGAGAUUGAUUUACAUGCCGUGUUAGUGGUGCUGUUCUCCCUGCCACACAUUUAAUGUAGCAGGAGAUGACAGUGUGCUUUCCUUUUACCCUGGGAGAGCUGGGUGCUUGGACACCCUUGCUGCUGCGGUUAUUGGUAGCUGAGAUCUUUUCCCAGAGCUUGGGCUGGAGAACAAGCUGGUUUGAAGCCUCUUAGGAAGGUGCCAGAACGGUGCAUUUUCAAUAGAGCGUGAGCUGCAUCUGUAGCUUGAGAAAGGUUUGCACUCUCAAAUGGUAGCAGUGGGCUUCUGCUGCAGGACAGGCAGCCCGACCUCAUGGAGUGGUCAGAGCAAUCCUGCAAUCCUCACUUGAGUAACAGUUUGGGAAUGAGUGGCAGUACUGAAUUCUGAUCUUGGGCGGGAGCUGAGGUAAUACUGUAUUGGCUAUGAUACUGUUUGUCUGGUGUCAGCACAAGAGGGAGAAGCUUUGUUGUAGUGUCCAAUCUAAAGCACAUAUUUUAAGAUGAAUUGAUUGGACCAGACUUUACAAAUAAUCCUAGCUUCUAGUAAAUAACCUUUGGGCUCUCUAGGUCAGAGCCUUGAUAUUUGGAAACGUCUUUAAAACCAAAUGUAUCUUUAUCCCUUCUUCAUUGAGGUGAUUGAACCUGAUAAUAACACAGUGGUCUGAGGUGAUAUCAAGAGGGGAAUGUGUUAGGACACAACUGAGUUGUCAGCUGGGAAGCUCACAGGGGUAUGGAAGGUUUCAGAUUCCCUGAGAUCUUUUCCAGUUUGCUAGACAAGGAUGGAGGUGGGAAGGGACCCCAGGGAACUGGAGGGAGAGGAGAGGCACUGAGUGUGAGCAGAUUUUGUUGCAGAUUGGUCUUGCAAGGCUGGUCAGGGGUGGAUCAGGAGAGUGCCCUCAGACCCUACACUGAUGCCUUGUGCUCGCUGCAGGACUUGGGGGCUCAGCCAGGCAGCAGCUGGGAGCAGUUCGUUGCUCCCCACUUCUCUAGCAGUCAGCAGCCCCUUCCUCAGAUCCCUGGCACCCCAAACCUUUUGGGAGAAGGGCAGGUGUUUUGUAUAGUAACAAUGGAAUUGCACUGAUGACAUGAUUAUGGAUGUGAUGAAACAGACAUUAUUCAAAUUCACCACCAGGAAUGUAAUAAACUACA
This is a long non-coding RNA of Strigops habroptila (Kakapo), 3368 nucleotides long. Lineage: Eukaryota; Metazoa; Chordata; Aves; Psittaciformes; Psittacidae. The record is from Ensembl.